Molecule: ribosomal RNA, 434 nt
Filed under: uncultured bacterium
Lineage: Bacteria
Description: partial 16S ribosomal RNA
Rfam family: Bacterial small subunit ribosomal RNA
Source: RNAcentral
AGCGAACGCUGGCGGCAGGCCUAACACAUGCAAGUCGAACGAACCUUUCGGGGUUAGUGGCGGACGGGUGAGUAACACGUGGGAACGUGCCUUUAGGUUCGGAAUAACUCAGAGAAACUUGUGCUAAUACCGAAUGUGCCCUUCGGGGGAAAGAUUAAUCGCCUUUAGAGCGGCCCGCGUCUGAUUAGCUAGUUGGUUGAGGUAAUGGCUCACCAAGGCGACGAUCAGUAGCUGGUCUGAGAGGAUGAUCAGCCACAUUGGGACUGAGACACGGCCCAAACUCCUACGGGAGGCAGCAGUGGGGAAUCUUGCGCAAUGGGCGAAAGCCUGACGCAGCCAUGCCGCGUGAAUGAUGAAGGUCUUAGGAUUGUAAAAUUCUUUCACCGGGGACGAUAAUGACGGUACCCGGAGAAGAAGCCCCGGCUAACUUCGUG